Molecule: long non-coding RNA, 2818 nt
Organism: Ctenopharyngodon idella (grass carp)
Lineage: Eukaryota; Metazoa; Chordata; Actinopteri; Cypriniformes; Xenocyprididae
Exons: 2
Source: RefSeq, a predicted model, not a curated record
UUCAUUUACGCCUACAUGUAGAGAUCAAAUAUUCAAGUUAUUAAUUUUCUACCCCUGAACGAAAAACAAACAAAAAAAAAAGCCGAAUUCUUGUUUUUUGUUUUGUUUGAAAAAAAUGAAAAACGAAAAAGGUGCCGUUUUUUCAUUUUCCGAUUUCAAUAUUAAAUCAAAAAACGAAUGACCAAAAGAUACACGGACCGUGGUUUCUCGGUUUGAUAGAUUUGAGCAACCAUAAACGACGCAAAACAUAGGAAUUUUGAGUUUGUGAUAGGAUAUAGAAAAAUCACUCCUUGCCCUCCAGCCGCAUUUCGCAUGCAGCAAUGACGUCAUGUGCAAACAACCUAUUUGUGUUUACGUCACUCAAAUAGAGCGCUUACCAAGCUAUGGAGAAAUUGGUAGCCAGGCAACAGACAAGUGACCAGUCCUGAGUGUCGACAUCACUUCACGGAUUCUACCAGCACGAUUGUCUAACCGUGCUGAGAAUUCCGGGCCGAGAACGGUUUAUAGGCCUAAUCGUGCCGUGCCGUACCAGGCUCCAGUGGAAACACAACUGGAAUCGUUUCUUACCAUUCUAAGAACCUUUCGGCCUGACGGUGGAAAAGCGGCUAAAAGAACAAGACCGACCGUCAUUGAAAUCUCAUAACGGGCCAAAACCAACCAUCACUGAAAUCUUGUAACGAAACGAAACCGACCGUCCUUGAAAUCUUGUAACUGAACAAAACUGACCAUCAUUGAAAUCUCGUAAUUAAACAAAACCGAUAGUUUGAAUCCUGGAUGGCUGCUGCUCCUCCAGGACAGGUUUGAGAACCACUGCUCUAGAUCUCAGCAUCCACACUUAUUUCAAACCAGUAUGACUUUAUUUCUUUCAUACAAAACUUCUUAAUGAGAAUUAACAGAGGUUUAGAUGUUGAUGUUUUAUUGAACAUAAUCAAGUUUGAAGUCACCGUUAUGGAGGUGAGCAUUUGCUGUAGAUGGGCUCUUGAUUCUUGACAUUUUAACCUUAGAUUUUCUCUUGUUGCUGUAACUGUGUUUCAAAACUAGCUUAUUACAGCAAAAAUUGCAAGAGAAAUUCUGAUCAGAUGAAUUUGGUUAUUUAAUGAUGGUGAUUUAAUCAUCAUGGUGUGUCCUGGUUGACUGAUUCUCUCCAGAGUCUAAAUUCUGACUGUUAGUUUUGCAUUAUUUGUGUCUCUUUUGUGACAGUCAAAUGUUCUGAUUUUAAAAUUCAUUAUACAGAGUUUUGAGCAGUGUACUUCAGACUUCCACAGACUUAAUGAAUCAGCGUAUGAACCUCAACAAUGGUGACAAAAAACAUUUUUUUUUUAUUUUGUAACUUUAGUAGCUUAUUUUGUGUUGCUCAGAGUUAAUCUGUUUAUCUGAAAAUUUUGUCACCAUUGUUGAAGUUCAUACGCUGAAUCUUGAUGUCUGUGUUAGUCUACAUGACCCUGUUUGAAUAAUUUCUGCAUAAUGACUUAAGAACUUUCAAAUUAUAGAAACAGAGCAGAAUUUUAUGCGGUAUUAUAAUAACAUGAAAGAAAUACUAUAUAGAUCAGUGAACCAAGUCACUGCAUGAUGGUGAUAUCAAUAAGCAAUCAAGUUCAUCUGAUUAAAUUUUUUUUCCACAAUUUUUGUUAUAACAAAUGCACUUUAUAACAAUUACAGAAAAAGUAAAGUUAAAAUGUCAAGGAUCAAGAGCCCAAAUAAAGCAAUCGCUUACCUCUAUAAUGGUGACUUCAAACUUCUUAAAAGAAGAACGUCUCUUAAAAGACCGUCUCGGAACGUACUAGGCAACAUCCAGUGGGGAUAUUCUGAAAACAUUUUGGCAACGUAAAAUUUCUAACGGGGUACAUACAGUACAUCCAGGACAUUUACGUGCUGUGCGCACCUAAAGGGCUGACAGAAACCUUUUUCACUGAUGCCAUUUUCGCUCACCCGCGAUGCUGAGCAAACGAGGAUGGGAAGCACAGAGAUAAAGUGUUUUAUAUUUGAUUUACAGUAUUAAGGUUUUUGUUUUAGGUUGGUAUAUGUGCUGUGUGUGCGCGCCUAAACUUUCCUCAGAGAUAUAUUCUUUGACCCGUGGUGCGGAGCAGACGAGAGAAAACUCUUUUACAAGGAAAUACCUACAACGACAUUUCCUAUGACUCGCCAUGUGGUGCAGACACGGGCUACUUCUCAAUAUCCCUCCUCGUUUCCUCGCUCCUCCGUCCUCCAUCCUAUGACCCGGAAACCGAUUGAACUCAGCCAUCUUGAAGGACAUCUCAGUUCUCUAAUUACACCACGAGGAGGCGAGGAACGAGGAGUGAGAAAGCUUCCUGAGGAGUCAUGAGCGAGGAUACACAGGGCAAAAUUAGCUGUAUAGACCAAAACCACAAUUUGAUCCAGGCUGUAAACAUGUUUUUUUCUGCUGUAAAGUUGGGCAUUUUAACAUGGGACUCAAUGAGAUUCUGCUUUCUUUUGGAGCCUGUCCCUAGCGGCCAGUCGAUGAAUCGCAGUUUAAGUCACUUCCUUAUUGGCUUCAAGAGAAACUGGGGGAGAUUGCUGCUUGGCUGAACCCACAAGUUUGCGAGCUACGCAGAGGACUUCACCCGGCAAUCAAAGCGCCGUUACGUCACGAAAGUGCGGACUCAGAGGAAGACCUUGAGGGUUUAGGGUGCCAUUGGGGAUUCAGCCACAGAUGUAUCCUUUGCGGAAGUCUUUCUCGUCAAAAAACCUGACGCACGUAUAAAUUCUAAAAAUAUAGAAGAUAUAUUAAAAUAUAUCUGUCACAAUAAUUUAAAUGUAUGCUUUACUUUUGCAGUUUAAAUAAACUUUACAUCUCAUA